UACAUAGGUAACCUGCCGUGAAGUGGGGAAUACCAAGGCGAAAGACUGGUUAAUACCGCAUAAUAUCAACAUAUCAUGUAUGUUGAAGAAAGGAGCAAUCCGCUUUAUGAGGGGCCUAUGCUCGAUUAGUUAGUUGGUGGGGUAAGAGCUUACCAAGGCGAUGAUCGAUAGCUGGUCUGAGAGGAUGAUCAGCCACACUGGGACUGAGACACGGCCCAGACUUCUACGGAAGGCAGCAGUGGGGAAUAUUGCGCAAUGGGCGAAAGCCUGACGCAGCGACGCCUCGUGAGUGAAGAAGUU
Molecule: ribosomal RNA, 300 nt
Filed under: uncultured bacterium
Lineage: Bacteria
Description: bacterial SSU rRNA
Rfam family: Bacterial small subunit ribosomal RNA
Source: RNAcentral